This 344-nucleotide unclassified non-coding RNA is filed under the name soil metagenome. RNAcentral describes it as "partial contains 5.8S ribosomal RNA, internal transcribed spacer 2, and large subunit ribosomal RNA". The stretch from base 1 to 120 matches the Rfam family "5.8S ribosomal RNA", at positions 35 to 154 of the family's 154-position model. The record is from RNAcentral.
GAUGAAGAACGCAGCGAAAUGCGAUACGUAAUGUGAAUUGCAGAAUUCAGUGAAUCAUCGAGUCUUUGAACGCACAUUGCGCCCCCUGGUAUUCCGGGGGGCAUGCCUGUCCGAGCGUCAUUGCUGCCCUCAAGCACGGCUUGUGUGUUGGGCCUCCGUCCUCCUCCCGGGGGACGGGCCCGAAAGGCAGCGGCGGCACCGCGUCCGGUCCUCGAGCGUAUGGGGCUUCGUCACCCGCUCUUGUAGGCCCGGUCGGCGCUUGCCGACACAUCAAUCUUUUUCCAGGUUGACCUCGGAUCAGGUAGGGAUACCCGCUGAACUUAAGCAUAUCAAUAAGCGGAGGA